ACGAAGGGGGCUAGCGUUGCUCGGAAUUACUGGGCGUAAAGGGAGCGUAGGCGGAUAGUUUAGUCAGAGGUGAAAGCCCAGGGCUCAACCUUGGAAUUGCCUUUGAUACUGGCUAUCUUGAGUACGGAAGAGGUAUGUGGAACUCCGAGUGUAGAGGUGAAAUUCGUAGAUAUUCGGAAGAACACCAGUGGCGAAGGCGACAUACUGGUCCGUUACUGACGCUGAGGCUCGAAAGCGUGGGGAGCAAACAGGAUUAGAUACCCUGGUAGUCCACGCUGUAAACGAUGAGUGCUAGUUGUCGGCAUGCAUGCAUGUCGGUGACGCAGCUAACGCAUUAAGCACUCCGCCUGGGGAGUACGGUCGCAAGAUUA
This 371-nucleotide ribosomal RNA is filed under the name uncultured bacterium. RNAcentral describes it as "bacterial SSU rRNA". It matches the Rfam family "Bacterial small subunit ribosomal RNA", at positions 525 to 896 of the family's 1533-position model. The record is from RNAcentral.